Molecule: long non-coding RNA, 1766 nt
Organism: Gallus gallus (chicken)
Lineage: Eukaryota; Metazoa; Chordata; Aves; Galliformes; Phasianidae
Source: Ensembl
GUUACUGUUUCUAGCUGUGAGUUUGUUUGCUCACUUGGACGGGUUUUGGGGAUGUGAGAUCGAUCCUAGGGCCCAUGUAGGACCUUGUGGUGUGAUGGUGCACACGUUUGUCCUUUCUAGCCUGUUUCAAAUACACUUCCAAUACACAGUAUUGCAUGAUUCCUAACUCAGUAGUUUCCCAAGUCCUCUAGUGAUAGAAUUAUGAAAUAAAAAAGCCAAGAGGCAUUACUGUUUUCUUUACAAAUACUAUAUAGUGAUAUAGCAAUGAAUGGAUGGUGAUGCAAUGGAAACCAGUGAAUUCAGUCUCUACUUGAGUGGUAAAGUAUCUGACUAUUUACAGUAGUAUUUUAUCUGAAGAGCUGGGUAUGAUUUGAUGGAAUAUGCGGCGGCUUCCUGAAACCACCGGGCACCCAAACAACUGAACAAAGCCAGAAAAGAGAUCUGCAGAAAAUGGCUAUAAUAUCAAUGCUGAGUCACAUAGCCAAGGGAUUUCUCUUUCUCUUCUGCAUUCAGCCACACCACCGUGGGCUGUGAUCUUGUCAGUUCUCAUAAACUGGUAACACCAGUGAAGGGCUGAAGGUCAUACACAUGGCAGAAUCUUCCAACCCUGCCUGCAGGAGCUACUGGUAAAAGCAUUCAGGCAGGGUGAGGUGCAGAGCCUGAGCUUCCACUGGAUGUUGAUGGCUGCGAUACGCUUAUAGAGAAAGUACACUUUAUAAUUGGCAGCAAACAUCAGUGACCUGGCAUGAUUCCUGGCUAUGAAGUGGCUCUUUUUUGGCAGAAGAAAUUUCUGCUCCAGUUCCUGAGUGUUUCCUGGAAGGCAAGAUAGCAUUUAUGGGCUUUGAUACGAAUUUAACUCAUGCAACAAUGCAGAAACUGAUUUUAACUGUGUGAUUGAGGUAACACUUGAAGUUACCCUAGAAGCAUCUAUCUCAAGACCUGCCAAAGAUGUGCUUUUCAGACAUAUGCAGAUGUAAGAAGCUGUGAUUUAAAAGCUUCAUGUGAUAGAAAGUAAUCUUAGAAAUGUGGAUAUAUGUACCUGGUCCUAUCUCAGCUCUCUUUCCUGCCACAACGUUUCUUGUUUUAGUGGUGUUCCCAUUGCUUUACCUAGAAAAUUUCUUCAUCAACUCAUCCUGUACUUCUCAGCCCUGCCAAUAAUCACACUCUGCCUUUCCAUGUGGGCAUUCUGUCAGUGCUGAUGAGUAUUUUGGCUUUAAUAGAAAACUAGACAAUAAAAUAGCAAAAUAUUUUAGGUGCUAUUUUCUGGUCUCAUGUAAUUCCCUAUAUUACUUCUGCUGUGUUAAUAGAGAAUUUUGCAAUCACUUUUUAAACAACGUUCAUGAUUUCUUCCCAGUUUGAUUAUCUGAUGGCUUCUUUGAAAUCACUGUUAAAAUCUGAUCUAUAAAAUAAAAUGAAUAUUGAAAUAUCUUAUCUCCAUGUUGUAGGUAAUAAAAACAUUGUAAAGGUUAGCAACAUUACCUUUAAAUACAGAAUCAAGCAUGUUAAGUGCCUUGGAGUUAAGAUUUUAACUUUAUUAGAUUUAUGGUAAGAAUUAAAAUAUCCUCUCUUGUUACAUUUAUAAAGAUAGAGCUCGUUAGAUGAAGGAAAUUUCUUUUAUCAUUAAUAGGUCACAUAAAUGUGAUAAAAAUGUCUACGCUUUCCAUAAAUUUUAUUCUUAUUUUAAGCAGUUGCCGCAUAUAGAGUUUAUCCUUCAAAACUUUCAAUAGCAUUUUUAUAUCCUCCAAUUGAAAUAAUAAAAAGCAAAG